This is a long non-coding RNA of Nycticebus coucang (slow loris), 614 nucleotides long. RefSeq lists it as uncharacterized. NCBI's taxonomy places the organism in Eukaryota, Metazoa, Chordata, Mammalia, Primates, Lorisidae. The transcript is spliced from 3 exons. The record is from RefSeq and is a predicted model, not a curated record.
CUCAGACAAGACCCCUGCCUGACCAACACCUUGAUUGUAGCCAUGUGAGGCUUGAGCUGAGAGCCCAGUCACACCACUCGGGACUGCUGACAUGCCGUUUCAAGCUGUUAGGGCCUGGCUGCACUCGCUCGCUGAUCCCCUGUCUGGUGACCUUGUGUUGUGAAGUCUCCCUCGCGCCGGUGGUUCUGAGGGAUCUAAGGUUUCUAAGGUCAAGAUUCCAGGAGGGCUGAGCUGAUGAUUCUGCUUGGAAAAUAUACUCUGCCUCGCAAGGCCCUGUGCAGACUGGGGGCCCAGCAGCACCUCCUGUCGUCUGAUGGAGAACUGGAAGGCAAGGCUGGAGGAGACACAGGCUGGGCUGGCAUGUGGGGCAGGAGGUGGGCCAGGGAUAGGGCCACUGGGGCUCUGUCCUCAAGUCCUGCCCCCGCCCCCUAAGCCAGGCCACCAGCCGCCUGCCUUCAUGGGCGUCCCUGUCCCACAGCACUUCCAGACAUACCCACUGUACACACAGCCCCUCUGCUCUAGAGGACAGGCUCAUGGUGGUCCAGUGACCUAGCCAGGGCCUGGAGCCAUCAAUACACAGCUCAGCACUUGGUCCACCUCAGGCUUCCAAACAU